Long non-coding RNA from Hemicordylus capensis (graceful crag lizard), 1237 nucleotides. RefSeq lists it as uncharacterized. The transcript has 2 exons. Lineage: Eukaryota; Metazoa; Chordata; Lepidosauria; Squamata; Cordylidae. The record is from RefSeq and is a predicted model, not a curated record.
CAAACUGCGGUGCUAGAAUUCAAACAUAGCACUGUCACUGCAGAAAUGGAGUUUGUGGUGGUGAAACUCCACUCUGACAAAAGGUUUGGUUUGGCAAGGGAAACUGUGGGUCACUCCGCCCACUGCAAACUCAAUUUCCCCGAGUUCGGAUGUUCAGUUUUGGAAACCAGAGGUGAAGAGACCUCCGGUUUCCUAUCUUGUCUGAUCUUGGCUGGAAAAAGAAGCUGCAUGGCAAAUGGAGUCUGCAGCAGAGAGGAGAGCAAAGAGCAGUCUGGGAGCAAUAAGGGUGGAAUGAUAGGCCCCAGAAUAUCAGUUUAUCAAUCAGAGAAAGCCAGAUCUGAGAGAGCGAGAGAGAGCCUUCCUCACUGUGUCACUGUCAUUACACCUAAUGCCCCUAUUGGUCAGUAGGACAAAAGGUGCCAAGAAUCAAAGCUCCUUGAGUUCCAUCUCCAACACACCUUUUCUCCUCCGGAGGUAGCAAGCUUCUAUAAUCUUUCAUUUAGGUGUCAUAUUUGAAGGACAUAAGUUUAAGCAGAGAGGGAAGCCACCUCAUGCUAUGUCAGUGAUGGAACUCUGUCUUCGUGCCACAGAGAAUGUAGGACGUUUGUGUGUUAAAGCACUGGCCCCUCUUUCCUUCAUAUGAGCAAACAGCCCGGAAGCUUUCUACGAUUUCUUCUUUGCUAAAAAACCUUCCACUUUGGCUCCAGGCUCAGAAUAGCAAUCUCACAUUGGCUUCUACUUAUGGAAAAAAUAUAUGAAAGCCUCUUCUGACAGCAUCUGACUCAGCCUGCAUGCAGAAGAUGAUGUGGUGGAAAAUGGGGGACUGAACUGAAUUGUCUGACCAGAAACUGCUUUAAGCUGGAGUGAAGCAAGCUAGUCUAGCAAGAAUGUUUUGUUUUGUUUUUUAACCUCUAGUUGUGUGCGUAUACACAUUGCAUGGGUGCAAAUGCAUUUAGCUCAUUAGCAACUGGGCAUGCUGACCCCAGGAGGAAAAUGAUGAAAAUAUCAGUGUGCAGAGAAACUGGUAGCGCCUGCUGUGAAACAUCCCUUGAAUAAUAAUCCACAGUUUGUGUAUGGCACCUGCCCUUGCCAUCAUGUCCUAUAUUCUUCUCCCAUAACAAAUCAACUUUUGUUGCAUUUCUUCCGAGUAUUUUCCAAAUAUUGUCCAGAGUAUUUUCUUCUGAAUAUCUACUGUAAUUAGAAUUGUGGCCCAUUUAAACUGUUUUUAGUGUUUUAA